Molecule: long non-coding RNA, 607 nt
Organism: Saccostrea cuccullata (small rock oyster)
Lineage: Eukaryota; Metazoa; Mollusca; Bivalvia; Ostreida; Ostreidae
Exons: 3
Source: RefSeq, a predicted model, not a curated record
UCACAAAUUUGCAUGGUCUGGUCAUUGUUAGUGAAUGUCACCAUCUGUGCAAACUUGUCAUUGUUUAGUCUCACUGGUAAAGGCUUUUCUGCUCUUUUAAUCCCAUUUUUUUGACACUUGGAUCCUUUGUUAUGUGGUGUACUUCCUUUUUUGAACUGAAAUUUGGACAGAUAUUUUAGUCUUUCUUUCCCCAUAUUAUCUUAUAUUGAACAGCUACUCAGUAAAUUGCAGUAUGAUUUUGUGAAUAUUUUUCACUUCAAUAUACUCACUUUAGGCCUUAGUUUUAUUUAUUUGUUUUAACCAGUUUUUGAUCUUUUUAAGAGAUCCCCCUUUUCUUUGAAGACAGCAGAAAUGAACACAACCCCAGUCUGAUAAAGAGACCAUUAUCUUAAUCACCAGACACAAAGGAGCACAAUGCCUGGACAUAGGAGGCUACUUCCUGGGGUGCAUCGGACCUGUUUAUAAACAUGCUGAAAACACGUGGAUUUGAGGGUAACCCUGUUUGCAGAUGGAAAAAGUCAGAAAAUGCCGUGUGGGUACCCUGUUUUUUGGACUCGGCCAAUGAGAGAGAAACAUAUAGUGAAAAUAAUUACCGGUGUGAUACCUU